Molecule: ribosomal RNA, 301 nt
Filed under: uncultured bacterium
Lineage: Bacteria
Description: partial 16S ribosomal RNA
Rfam family: Bacterial small subunit ribosomal RNA
Source: RNAcentral
CAGUAGCCACGGUAAUACGAAGGGGGCUAGCGUUGUUCGGAAUUACUGGGCGUAAAGGGCGCGUAGGCGGCCAUUCAAGUUAGAUGUGAAAGCCCUGGGCUCAACCUAGGAAUUGCAUUUGAUACUGUUUGGCUUGAGUUCGGGAGAGGUGAGUGGAAUUCCCAGUGUAGAGGUGAAAUUCGUAGAUAUUGGGAAGAACACCAGUGGCGAAGGCGGCUCACUGGACCGACACUGACGCUGAGGUGCGAAAGCGUGGGGAGCAAACAGGAUUAGAUACCCCGGUAGUCCCUGUCUCUUAUAC